UGGGGCGUCGCCAAGUGGUAAGGCAACGGGCUUUGGACCCGUCAUUCGCAGGUUCGAAUCCUGCCGCCCCAGCCA
Molecule: transfer RNA, 75 nt
Filed under: Deltaproteobacteria bacterium
Lineage: Bacteria; Pseudomonadati; Myxococcota; Myxococcia
Also listed under: 3 other names
Description: tRNA-Gln
Rfam family: tRNA
About the family: Transfer RNA (tRNA) molecules are approximately 80 nucleotides in length.
Source: RNAcentral